RNAcentral lists this long non-coding RNA (1357 nucleotides) under Medicago truncatula (barrel medic). RNAcentral describes it as "lncRNA gene43623". Lineage: Eukaryota; Viridiplantae; Streptophyta; Magnoliopsida; Fabales; Fabaceae. The record is from RNAcentral.
GUUAACAUGAGCUUGAAAGAGGUUGAGAGGGAUGAUUCUGAAUAUUGUCCACAACAUUGGUCUUUACUUCAGUGAUUUACUUACUAUUCAUAGGCAUAUUCCAGUUAGAUAUUUGUGAUUUCUUUUAACUGUAUAAUCGGUUGUUUAUGUGAAGUAGAAUUUGAGAUUUUAGUGUUGAAUACACUCAAGAUCAACAAAUCUUGGCUAUUAAUGGGAGGUUAACAUAUAAUAUAUUAUACCCCUUAAAAAAAAUAAAAAAAACUUCAAAACAUAGUGCAGGCAUAUGCCUACAAAGGGGACUACAUAGAUCCAUCCCCGUGUAUAAGUGUGACAAAGAUAUUAUGGUUAACUAAACAUCUUACUAAAACCUCUAAGUCUAACACAUGUUUGGUAUUGUAGUUUCGUGAGUAGGACAUAGCUGAUGUCAAAUGAUUUGUUAAUUUGCUUGUUAAUAUAUAAUUACUAAUCAAAGUAAUGCCCUUGUGUUCAUUUUAGUUUUGCAGUUGCAUUUAGUGGUAGUUCAUCUUGACCUUAAUUGGUUGCCCUUAUUGCGCAGGUAUAAUAUGUUGAAUGUUACAAUAUUUUUUUCAUUAUACAAUGUCUAGAAUCCUUGAGCUCAAGAGCUUGCAUGUGGUGUUUUAGUUUAAAUAAAAUCCUUAAACAACAUGACUGCCUUGCAUUUUCUUGUAUACUCAUUUGUCCAAUGAUUGUAGGAUGAGGUUAUCCAAUUUGGUGGUCAGAUUGAGCCGCCUGGAAUGCACAUGAUUUAUCUUCCGUGUUAUGAUGACAUCAGACUUGUUGAAGAGAUACUAGUGGGGUGGUGACUAAAGCAAGUUAUAUAUGAUCAAAUAAAAUGGGCAGCUGAGUAUGGCUUGAAAAUAUGUUUGUAAUUGGGAAGCAUCCCUCACCUCACAAGCCAAUUUUGUAAAGUUGAUGUUCUUCCUCUCAGGGAGCAGACAAAGGAGAAACUUGGGAGCCCCAGGAAGUUUAGACUGAACGGGUUCAAGCAUUUUCUCAACUCUGACCACAGGCGGAGCAAGCCUAACCUGACCAUUUUCUUCAAAGACAUCAAAAGGUUGUUCAACAAGUUACCAAGAGCAAACGAAACAGAAUGGAGUUAGCCCCUAUCUAUAUUUCAGUAAAUAUGCUGUAAUAGAACUUACAAUUCCUUUCAUUCCUCCACAUUUGAUCAGAACCCUCACAAGUCCCUGCACAUCAUAUCGCGCAGAAAAGUUCACCACAUACCAUUUCUCUAUUUUAACAGGUUGCACAAUUUUCUGGGAACAGUAUUCGAAUCAUUAGGAAAAAUAUGUUAUAGAUGACAAACGCCAAAAAAAUAAAAAUGUAACUUAGAUUU